This 295-nucleotide ribosomal RNA is filed under the name uncultured bacterium. RNAcentral's name for it is "partial 16S ribosomal RNA". It matches the Rfam family "Bacterial small subunit ribosomal RNA", at positions 30 to 324 of the family's 1533-position model. The record is from RNAcentral.
AUUGAACGCUGGCGGCAUGCCUUACACAUGCAAGUCGAACGGCAGCACGGGAGCAAUCCUGGUGGCGAGUGGCGAACGGGUGAGUAAUAUAUCGGAACGUGCCCGGUCGUGGGGGAUAACGUAGCGAAAGCUACGCUAAUACCGCAUACGAUCUAAGGAUGAAAGCGGGGGACUCGCAAGAGCCUCGCGCGAUUGGAGCGGCCGAUAUCAGAUUAGGUAGUUGGUGGGGUAAAGGCUCACCAAGCCAACGAUCUGUAGCUGGUCUGAGAGGACGACCAGCACACUGGAACUGAGA